RNAcentral lists this unclassified non-coding RNA (354 nucleotides) under soil metagenome. RNAcentral describes it as "partial contains 5.8S ribosomal RNA, internal transcribed spacer 2, and large subunit ribosomal RNA". The stretch from base 1 to 120 matches the Rfam family "5.8S ribosomal RNA", at positions 35 to 154 of the family's 154-position model. The record is from RNAcentral.
GAUGAAGAACGUAGCGAAAUGCGAUAGGUAAUGUGAAUUGCAGAAUUCAGUGAAUCAUCGAAUCUUUGAACGCACAUUGCGCCCAUUAGUAUUCUAGUGGGCAUGCCUGUUCGAGCGUCAUUAAGUCCACUUAAGCCCUGCUUAGUGUUGGGAGACUGCUCCAGCGGUGCUACCCUGUAGCUACCCUGCAGCUCCUCAAAGACAGCGGCGGAGUUGUGGUAUCCUCUGAGCUUAGUAACUUGUUCUAGCUUUCGAGUACACCACUUCCCCUGCCGUAAAACCCUUAAUUUUUAAUGGUUGACCUCGGAUCAGGUAGGAAUACCCGCUGAACUUAAGCAUAUCAAUAAGCGGAGG